GGAAAGCCUGGAGUCAGGGUGGGGCCAAAGGAGAUAGUUGUUUUGGAUCUGGCAAAGCAAACAAAACCAGCACCACGUAUGUGCCUGUUCUCUCUUUUCUCCAGGCUUUGGUCUGUGACCGAUGCAGGGACAGGCCAGAGAUUCAGGGAGUGACCUGCCCACUCCAGAGUGCAGUGAGGACAGACCCACAACGACUUUCUUCUCCACAACAUAAAGGCACUCCAGGGGAAGCCGCUUAGUCAUCCCAUGGAGCUUCCUGGAAAUGGAGCAAACAGCAACGCCACCACAAUACCUAUGACUGCAUGACCAAAAUAGCACAGAGGGAGCACCCUGUGAGUUAACUUUUGCCAUGACAAACCCAGAACUAAGUUCUGUGAGGAUGAUCAGGGCUGCUGGCAAGGGGAGAAGGCCUCAGAGAAGCACAAGAAAGAUUUAAAGGACACACCAAAAAUAUUUUAUCCUUUUCACCUCUUUUCUUGCCUCAUGAAAUCAAGUAAAAAGGUACAGAGAAUGGUCCAGGUACCAUUUCAACCCACCCAGCAGCAAGAGUCAAGGACAGCCUUGUCAGACACCACUGCUCAAGAGAUCCAAAUCCAUGUCUAAAGAUUCUCAAAACCAGCCAGUCUGCUAGAUUCAAAGUGGAAACUCUCACAACAUGACUCAAGUGACUCAUCUGAAUGGAAGAGAUUCAAUUAUGACAUUUCCCCAGCCUCAGCCUGUGUCUUUCACAGGUAUUACAGGAGCUUUAGACAUCAUUUGCUCAACCCCACUAACAUCACAGGAGGUUACAACACAAGGAGCUCCUGUUUGCAGAGUUGCCACACUAAUAUUCCUGUUACAGGAGGCUGCUGUUUCUAAGUGCAGUGAGGCUCCAAGACUCCUGCAGCAUAAAGCCCUGCUUGUUAAGGGAGUCCACCAAAUACUCCAGAAGAAUUAGAAAUGGGGAAAAUAUUUUUUUCCAUGUUUUAAACCUACUCCCCCCAAGCAAUACUCUUUACUGCAAGGGAAUUUGCCCCUUCAGCAUGCUAUUUAUUUUUCCAAGGAGCAACAUUUCUAGUGCCACCUCUCUGGCAGGUCCCAAGGCCACACAGCAUGAGUGAGGAUUGUGGACACACUGUUGACAUUAUGAAGUUGGAUAGGCUGACAACAAACAUGCCAGGUUUGUCUGUCUCACUCUGGAUCUCAUCCUGGAGAAUGUAACUGAUGGAAGAAACAGCCCUUUACCAUCACAGAGGUAUCAAAACCAUAUUUAACUUCAAUUACCAAUUAACUAUUAGUAACUUUAUGUUGCCUGCUAUGCUAUACUGGCAGAUCCUUUGCACAAUGCAGAAUUUUGAAAAAUAAAUAAAAUUUCUGGAUUAUUACAUGUCAGCAAGAACUCAGCAGAAGCAGUUCAGAAGCAAUUCAGCAUGCAGUAAGGAUGCUGCAGGAGAUGGGGGGAGAACAUCCUUUAAAUUCUUUCCCACUUAAUCUUGCUGAAGUCCUUAAGACCAAAAUGUUGGAAGGUAAAGGUUUUGAAAUCUUAGAAAGACUGCCUUGCUGCUGACUCCUCUACACAGUACUGAAGCAGUUUGCUGCUGGGUGAAUUACAGCCUGGCUCUCUUCUCACUUGCUUUAUUUCCCUUCAUGCAGUCAGCCCUGCCCUGAGCAGCAGGAGGAACAAGAGCCAGAAGAAGAAACCCUGCUCAAGUGUCUCCCACCCUGACCAGUGAGGCCCUGCCCUCUACCUACCACAGGGAAGAACUGACUCUGUCCCAGUCCCUCAACUGCUUCUGCCUCAGUACCUGCAUUUACUCUUGAAAUAUACUCAAUUUUGUUCAAGUGUGAGGUGGAGGAAGAAGGAGUUUUCCCCAAAGACUCCAGAGAUCAAGAGGGGAUGAGCAGGCUUUUCUCAGUUGUCUUCUGGCCAUUUAGCAAGGUCGGGCAUUAACAGUGAGAACUAGCAAAGCAGUUUGGAGUCCAAAGUAGAUCAGCCCCAAAGCAAACAGGUCUGAUUUUAGAGCAGCUGUGUACAGUGAAGAAAGAGACUGAACAAAGAGCAUCUGAGUGGGUGAAGUGGGCUAAAGACUAUGACCAGGGAAGGGGUCAGGCAAACAGGCCAGGAGGAGAACAGCAGAAGGAUGUAACCUCUCCUCUAGAACAGAAUCCAGGAUGCCCACAUCUCCAACAGCAGGCAAUCUCAAGCUUCUCAAUCUUCUCCUCCACUAAAGUCCCAAUGGAGAACGCCAGCAACUAUAAUCCUUUUUUGCUGCUCACUUCUCAUUAGUGAAAGCACAUAUAAACAAAUACCAGAAAUACUGCAGCUUGCUGCUGCAAUGCUAAUCCUGCUACCUUAAAUCAGCUUCAUUCAGCAUAUGUAAGCCUGUGUGUGCUAUCUUGCCAUUUUUCCCCACAUAACCAACACAGGAUGGCCCUGCUCUUCCACAGCAAUAGGUGGGAAGUAAAAGAAACUGUGACCCCUGUUCACCUCUUAGAGAAUCUGCAAACUGGGAAGUCAACAGCCUUGGGAGUGAAAUAAAACUAAUAAAAAAUUACGGAAAAAUGUGACUCAGUCACAUAAAGGAGUCACAGAUACAGCCCAUGUUUCUGCUCCAGAGUUCCUAAAAGAUCCUGGAAUCCAUACAUACCCCAAAACAUGAGGCAAGAGACCACUCAUUUAUUGUCUGAACUGAUCACUACAGCCACACUGACAGUCAAGGCAGACACACUGAGCUCAGAGUGAUCUGCUCUUUUGACACCAUGAACAACCUGAAAUCAAGCAUUACUGGGAUGGAACCCCAGUUCAAUUCCAAGCCACCAGAAUCAAAACACUAAAAACAUGAAUAUUGUCACCUCUAUCAAGGGGGUAGUCAAUACAUUUCAUUGUAAUGGUUGAGAUUUUCUUAAUUCUGUGCAAGUUUGCCUGUGGACACUUCCACUCAUAAACCAAAAAGCCACAUUAUUUAAAGUGUUGCUAACAAGGCCUUUGAGAAAUAGCUAUAUUUAUAUUCCUUACUGCAGCCAGUACAUAAAGCAGUUUGACAGUACUGCAAAACAGACCUAUUUCUAACUACAGCACUAUGUGGGAGCAGUUGGUGAGAAAAAGCGAUCUGCUGGGGCUUUUUGGGAGGGUUACAUAUGAAAUCUAACACUUGAAAAAAGUUCCAAAGGUGGCAAAGAAUAGGGCAGGCUACUGAUAUUGCACAUUAAAUUUAACCCACACAGAAACUGAAUUUUUCUGUUGUAAGACUGAAAUACAAUUGAAAAACUGACACAGAAGGUCAGCAUAGUAUCCAAUGGGAUUAAACUGAACACAGGUCCUUUGGGAAGGUCUUUGGACAAGGCAAGCUGCAUGUUCAGCUUUCUGAUAACAGUUCAUUCAGCCUACAUCAACCGGGCUCAAGUCUGGCAUGUUUUACUAGCUUGGAAAAAUAGAGCUGUACAUUUCCAGAGCCAGCUUUAAAUCAGGAGCAGCAUAGCUGUGUUCAUCCCCAGCUAAUAAACCUCCCCAGGUCUCAGCUACCUCCACAAAUAACCAGCUCAAGCCUCUUUGUACUACAUCACCAGAACAGGGAACAGGGUCAGCUUAACUGCAUUAGGUCUUAGCAACACCAGUUGCCAGCCCCAGUGAACCCUUAAUGACUGAUUAAUUUUAUACAGUCAUUAAGAGUUAUCCAAAAGUACACAAUAGGUGUUUAAUAGGCACGGGCAUACAGUGCAUCCUCACUAAGGCACAGAGUGUUGUUCAUGCUGCCUCUGCAAUGGUGAUGGGGCAGGAGAUUCCUCAUGCAGGCUAAAUCCUGCCAGUGCAAUGUUUUGGAGGAAACCUGAAUCAGCUGUCAGCACUAGAUCCGUGCUGAGUGUCAUGUGGACACAGCACGUCUAAUCUGAGAUAUCAUGUGAAGACUCAAAGUAGGAUUCAUCCUAUCAAAUUACAGCCUUUGCCCUUGCCUUCCUCUUCAAGAAAAAUCCUGUGUGACAACACACGAUUUAUCUUCCUCUCAGAGAAGUAAACUGUUUUGGAUUCUAAUAAAUUUGCUUGAAAACAUUUUGCUGUGCUCUCC
Molecule: long non-coding RNA, 4043 nt
Organism: Passer domesticus (house sparrow)
Lineage: Eukaryota; Metazoa; Chordata; Aves; Passeriformes; Passeridae
Exons: 3
Source: RefSeq, a predicted model, not a curated record